This 562-nucleotide ribosomal RNA is filed under the name Longilinea arvoryzae. RNAcentral's name for it is "bacterial SSU rRNA". It matches the Rfam family "Bacterial small subunit ribosomal RNA", at positions 338 to 916 of the family's 1533-position model. Lineage: Bacteria; Bacillati; Chloroflexota; Anaerolineae; Anaerolineales; Anaerolineaceae. The record is from RNAcentral.
CCUACGGGAGGCAGCAGUAGGGAAUAUUGGUUAAUGUGCGAAAGCGCGAACCAGCAACGCCGCGUGUGCGAUGAAGGCCUUCGGGUCGUAAAGCACUUUUUGCAGGGACGAGGAAGGACGGUACCUGCAGAAUAAGUCUCGGCUAACUACGUGCCAGCAGCCGCGGUAAAACGUAGGAGACGAGCGUUAUCCGGAUUUACUGGGCGUAAAGCGCGUGCAGGCGGCAUGGCAAGUUGGAUGUGAAAGCUCCGGCUCAACCGGGAGAGGCCGUUCUAUACUGCAGAGCUAGAGGAUGGUAGAAGGGAAGCGGAAUUCCGGGUGUAGUGGUGAAAUGCGUAGAUAUCCGGAGGAACACCAGUGGCGAAAGCGGCUUCCUGGUCCAUUUCUGACGCUCAGACGCGAAAGCUAGGGUAGCAAACGGGAUUAGAGACCCCGGUAGUCCUAGCCGUAAACGAUGUGAACUAGGCGUCGGCGGGUUCAAAUCCGUCGGUGCCGCAGCAACGCGAUAAGUCUACCGCCUGAGGACUACGGCCGCAAGGUUAAAACUCAAAGGAAUUGACGG